GGGCAUGGCGGGCAGCUUACCAUGGCAGUCGAACGGCAGCACGGACUUCGGUGUGGUGGCGAGUGGCGAACGGGUGAGUAAUGUAUCGGAACGUGCCUAUGAGCGGGGGAUGACUACGCGAAAGGGUAGCUGAUACCGCAUACGCCCUACGGGGGAAAGCAGGGGAUCGGAAGACCUUGCACUAUUAGAGCGGCCGAUAUCGGAUUAGCUAGUUGGUGGGGUAGCGGCUCACCCAGGCGACGAUCCGUAUCUGGUUUGAGAGGACGACCAGCCACACUGGGACUGAGACACGGCCCAGACUCCUACGGGAGGCAGCAGUGGGGAAGUUUGGACAAUGGGGGAGACCCUGAUCCAGCCAUCCCGCGUGUGCGAGGAAGGCCUUCGGGUUGUAAAGCACUU
This 399-nucleotide ribosomal RNA is filed under the name Achromobacter sp. PD-P2. RNAcentral's name for it is "bacterial SSU rRNA". It matches the Rfam family "Bacterial small subunit ribosomal RNA", at positions 37 to 435 of the family's 1533-position model. The record is from RNAcentral. Lineage: Bacteria; Pseudomonadati; Pseudomonadota; Betaproteobacteria; Burkholderiales; Alcaligenaceae.